CUUUAAGCUAACACCAAAUUACAAAUAAGUAAAAAAAAUGGCUGUGUUGUAUCAUUGCGCAGUUGAUCUUGUAGAAAAAGUAUUUUAUGGAAGACAUUUUCUAAACGGACAUUGAACUGCGUUUGGGACAUGAUGAGAGGCGGUCAUAAUGGUUCUUUUGGACAACCAAGUUGAUCAGAACUGGCACUGAGUCUCAGUGGAGAGCUGCAGUGGCCCGUCACUUACCGAGCGAAGAUGGCUCUGCAUCUCAGACUAUUUCAAGCUCGCUCUUUCGACCACAGAUGUUACAUCUUGACUGCUCUAUCCAGUUCUCCCUUUGAUUCAUUUGUGUAAAACUCUGCAAACCCACGCACUCUCACGGCUAUGUGUAUUGCUGCCUCAUUAGUCCAGAUGUAGCAGGAUUAACAGCAGCUGUGACAUUUGCUUGCUUGUAAGGGAGCAGUCUAUAAAAACAAGCAAACGAGAGGAUCUGGAAGCCCUAACCCCUUCUUCUUCACCACCUCCUUUUUCCACCUU
This 516-nucleotide long non-coding RNA is filed under the name Danio rerio (zebrafish). RNAcentral's name for it is "lncRNA si:ch211-285i13.1 (ENSDARG00000097707.3)". Lineage: Eukaryota; Metazoa; Chordata; Actinopteri; Cypriniformes; Danionidae. The record is from RNAcentral.